GGUGUUCCAGAGGUGUUCCAUAGGUGUUCCAUAGGUGUUCUCGUGGUGUUCUGUUGUCCCCAGCCCCCACAGCCCACAGAGGGCAAACAAACCCCACUGUCCUUUAAAAAAGAAGCUGUCAGAUGUUCUCCCAGCAGAUGGGUCAGCCUUGCUUGCAGAUGUGGACACUUUUGUUCCCAAGUGAGCUAUGAUGGGGGUGAAUCUUAUCAGCAACUACACUUAUUCAGAAGCUGUGCAUAUCUGUAGCAGGGAAAUAAUCAGGCGAGGAAUCUCAUCUGGAAAGUUCAUGUAUGGCAAUGAGGAGCUCAUCAAAACCCAGCACAGACCUGGCCGACCUGAUGAAAUGCUCAGCCUGCCUCACAGACUCUGCUCUCUAAUGGGGUCUAAAAGACCUGCCCAAUAACUGAUCCCAAAGAGCUGCAGUGUGGACUUUUCUGCUCAAUUACCAAAUGCCACCCAAACCCAAGAAGAAGAAGGAAGAAGAAGCAUGAAGAAGAAACCCAGGAUGACAGAAUCACAGAAUCACAGAAUACUGAGGUUGGAAGAGACCUCUAAGAUCAUGAAGUCCAACCUAAGUCCUAACACCUCAACUAGACUAUAGCACCAAGUGCCAUGUCCAGUCUUUUUUUAAACACAUCCAGAGAUGGUGAUUCCACCACCUCCCUGGGAAGAGCAUUCCAGUACUUUAUUAUUCUUUCGGUGAAUUUUUUUUUCCUAAUAUUCAACCUAUACCUGUGCCCUCCAUCUUGCUUCCGUCCACAACAUACUAAAAAUCCCAAAACCUAAAUCUCACCAAGUGACACACCUACACUACCCUCUAUAAUCUAUUUCACACUUUUGUGGGUUCUAGCCUAUCUUGAAGUCUAGGAAACUUUCUCCAUGGGAUCUCUCGGGAUCUCCUCUGGUCAAGCUGACCCCGAGCUGUAUUUAAAGUCUCUUUUCCCCAACCCAGCUGUCGAAGAAGGAGUCAGAAGUCUUUGGGUGUCGUUCUCAAGGUUGUUUAUUAUUUCUUAUCUAAAACAUUUUCUGUCUGGCCUGCCAAGGUUCAGCAGGUCAGUCCGAGGCACAGUGCCUGCCCCUGGGCUGGUGUUGUCUUUCUAUACUAUAAAUGAUAUGUUUGAUAUUUACAGUUAUGUUCCAAUACCUAUCA
Passer domesticus (house sparrow) is the source of this 1150-nucleotide long non-coding RNA. RefSeq lists it as uncharacterized. The transcript is spliced from 4 exons. The record is from RefSeq and is a predicted model, not a curated record. NCBI's taxonomy places the organism in Eukaryota, Metazoa, Chordata, Aves, Passeriformes, Passeridae.